This is a non-coding RNA of Hydra vulgaris (swiftwater hydra), 1425 nucleotides long. Lineage: Eukaryota; Metazoa; Cnidaria; Hydrozoa; Anthoathecata; Hydridae. The record is from RefSeq and is a predicted model, not a curated record.
GUUUGUAGUACAUUACUACAUGAAUUAGUUGUGUGACUUUAUUUAAUUAGACUAAUGUUAUUAUUUUAUAUAUAUUGUAUUAAAAUGUUAAUACAAUUAUUUUAGUUACGUUAACAACAUUAUUAUGAAGUUAUAAAAAUUAUAACAUAAUAACAUUAAUUAUAUAAAAUAACAUUAGUCUAAAAAAAAUGUGUAAAAUAUAGGUUUAAAUAAAAUCACAUGACAUUACCAGUUAACUGGUAAUCUGUUAACAUAAUACAAGUAAUUUGUUAACAUAAAUGUAAAUAAUGUUGUUAAAUAAUAUUGUUAACGUUAAACGUUAAUGUUAAUGUUGUUAAAGUUAAUUUUUUUAUGUUAUAACAAAAUGGAAAAUAUUUAAUACAUAAAUAUUAUCAAAUAAAUAUGAUAAUAGUGUUAUUUUAGUUAAAAUAGCAGCAUUUUAGUUAUAUUAACAACAACUAUUUUAGUUAUCAUAUGUUAACAACUAGAUAUAUAUGUAUACCAUAAAGGUACACCUCAGUCUUGAAAGCUCCCUUGAGUUAUUGAAGAAGGAGAAAGUUUUUCUACUGAUUUUAUUCAAGUGUUGCAGCACUCUAUUUAUAAUUUAAAUUAUAACUAUAAUUAUAAGUCGAUAAUACAGCUAUACGGUUGGAAGCCAUACCGAGUAUUGGAUUUGCUUUUGAGUUGCUGCUAGUCUCUUAUGUAUUUAAUGUCAAUUUUCCUCAUGAACUUAUUUGUGUAUAUGGAUUUAUGGGAAAUUUGCUUGGAAUAAACAACAAAAGAAUUAUCGUCAAUUCCUUUUAAAGAAAGUAUUGUCAAAAGUUUAAGAUUAAAUUAAGCAAUAUGUUUGUGAAACGAAAAAGUAUUUUUAUCACUUUCUUGUUUAUUUUUGUUAUAUCGUCAGCCGAGAACCAAGAGACCGUAUGUCUUUUUUUUGUGUUUCCAAGAAAAUCAAGUUUCAAAUUUUAAUUUGCAAAGUCUUUCUUCCAGAAAAUUCGACUGAUUAUUUAAAUAUUUCCUAAAAUUUUAUUGUUGUGGUAUAUUUAUGAAACACACACUCCUGAAUAUUUAUUGAUAAUGGACAAAAAAAAAACACAAAAUGUUGAUAUACGGUUCUUCUCUGACGGCGGUAUCUAUUUUUCAAAGUUUUAACUCGCUUUUGCAUAUAAAUGUUUUAAGACUUGUUUUUAAUUUAAUAUUCACUGAAUUGAGUUUGAGUUUUAACUGAGUUUAUAUACUUAAAAGAAAUACUAUAACAAUGCAUUGACUCGGAAUUAAAAUAAAAUUUAUAUUUCAGUUUUUAUUAUUUUAUUGUGAUAUCGUUCCGUUAUUUCUUGUAAGCCAAUAUAAUAUACAUGUGUAAUUUAGUAUAUGACUCUAAAUGACAAUGUGUAAUUUAUUAUAUGAUAUAAAUAGCAUUCUUUA